UGAAAAGAAGCGAUUACGCAAUCGGUUUCGGCCCGAAGACUGGGAAUUGCCUUUUUCCCCUUUUCAA
RNAcentral lists this transfer RNA (67 nucleotides) under Haliotis ovina. RNAcentral describes it as "tRNA-Arg". Lineage: Eukaryota; Metazoa; Mollusca; Gastropoda; Lepetellida; Haliotidae. The record is from RNAcentral.